This 422-nucleotide ribosomal RNA is filed under the name uncultured Wautersiella sp. RNAcentral's name for it is "bacterial SSU rRNA". It matches the Rfam family "Bacterial small subunit ribosomal RNA", at positions 355 to 774 of the family's 1533-position model. Lineage: Bacteria; Pseudomonadati; Bacteroidota; Flavobacteriia; Flavobacteriales; Weeksellaceae. The record is from RNAcentral.
UGAGGAAUAUUGGACAAUGGGUGGAAGCCUGAUCCAGCCAUCCCGCGUGUAGGACGACUGCCUUAUGGGUUGUAAACUACUUUUAUCUGGGGAUAAACCUACUCACGUGUGAGUAGCUGAAGGUACCAGAAGAAUAAGCACCGGCUAACUCCGUGCCAGCAGCCGCGGUAAUACGGAGGGUGCAAGCGUUAUCCGGAUUUAUUGGGUUUAAAGGGUCCGUAGGCGGAUUAAUCAGUCAGUGGUGAAAUCCCGCAGCUUAACUGUGGAACUGCCAUUGAUACUGUUAGUCUUGAGUGAUGUUGAAGUGGCUGGAAUGUGUAGUGUAGCGGUGAAAUGCUUAGAUAUUACGCAGAACACCAAUUGCGAAGGCAGGUCACUAAGUAUCAACUGACGCUGAUGGACGAAAGCGUGGGGAGCGAACA